Eupeodes corollae is the source of this 1141-nucleotide long non-coding RNA. RefSeq lists it as uncharacterized. The record is from RefSeq and is a predicted model, not a curated record. NCBI's taxonomy places the organism in Eukaryota, Metazoa, Arthropoda, Insecta, Diptera, Syrphidae. The transcript has 3 exons.
UUCAAAAGUAGUUGUUCAUAUAUAUGAUCAUUUUCUGACAUUUGUGAAAUAAAAUUAUGUGAGGAAUGCUUUUGAUUACAUUUAAUGCAAAUUUAUUAUUUUGAGGAGAACUUUUCACAACAAAAGGGGUCGAUUAAAAAAAUACCUUAGUGUAGUGUAGUGUAGUGUACAUGUUACAAGGGUGCAUCCAGACUUUUAAUAAGGGGAGUCACACACUUAGCAUAAAGACUAGUUUUUGAAAACCGCUUAAAAUGUUCUUUAAUGUUCUGUUAUGGAGGCUGACAAAAUUUAAAGACCAUGGUGCAAAAUUUUAAACAACCUAUUAUUAAGGCCUUAGCACGAAAGUAGUUAACAAUUUACUAUAUACAUAGUAAUCUACUAACUUUUCACUAAUUUUAAGCACUUUUUAUUGUUUUGCUAACUUGUAGCAUGCUAAAAGCUAAAACCAUUUUAUUAAAAAAAAACAUGAACACAUCUAAAUAAUGACAGAUUGUGGAGCAAACAAAACAAACAUACCUUAAUGUUUUUGCAAAUGUCAAAGUGACAACAUUGAAUUUGUAUUUUCUUUUUUCAUUAAUUUUGUUUUCAUAACUCGCCGUGGUUUAUUUCCGUUAAAACACCGAAUAAUAUUAAAAAUUUAUUCUACCAGAUCUAUUCCCCGUGAAGCAUCUUCAAUACCCAGAAGCAACUGCAAUGCUACAACUGUUGGCUUCAGUGUGAAGGCUGGUGGCAGUGGUUGUGGGUGUUCAGGAGGGUAUCUAAGGUUUCGACAAUAAAGACAAGCAUUGUCCGGAAAAGGAUGAUUGAUUUCAUCGAUGAAUCGAUUAGUCUCCACUCUGUAUUGCCAAAAAAAAAUACUAAACGAUGAGCUAUCAACUUCUAUAAGACGAGACCAGCACCAGACGAGAUGCAGUGGAACCCGUCUAUGGACACGAGAGAGUGGCGCUUUCUUUAACAAUGUCCUUCAGCGCCCGUGCACUUUGGUGGCGUUCAUCGGUGUAUGCAGUUUUAUUUGUGCUACAGCCUUACAAAGUACCUACUAAGUUCGAUGAUAUAUACCAAAUCUAUGAAUAAAUUUUAUUUCACAAUUUAUCAAUUUUAAAUCACUUUGUCACAUUUGAGAAAAAUGACAUAUGUCAUA